This 506-nucleotide ribosomal RNA is filed under the name uncultured bacterium. RNAcentral describes it as "partial 16S ribosomal RNA". It matches the Rfam family "Bacterial small subunit ribosomal RNA", at positions 29 to 523 of the family's 1533-position model. The record is from RNAcentral.
AGUGAACGCUGGCGGUAGGCCUAGCACAUGCAAGUCGAACGGCAGCACAAGAGAGCUUGCUCUCUGGGUGGCGAGUGGCGGACGGGUGAGGAAUACAUCGGAAUCUACUUUUUCGUGGGGGAUAACGUAGGGAAACUUACGCUAAUACCGCAUACGACCUACGGGUGAAAGCAGGGGAUCUUCGGACCUUGCGCGAUUGAAUGAGCCGAUGUCGGAUUAGCUAGUUGGCGGGGUAAAGGCCCACCAAGGCGACGAUCCGUAGCUGGUCUGAGAGGAUGAUCAGCCACACUGGAACUGAGACACGGUCCAGACUCCUACGGGAGGCAGCAGUGGGGAAUAUUGGACAAUGGGCGCAAGCCUGAUCCAGCCAUACCGCGUGGGUGAAGAAGGCCUUCGGGUUGUAAAGCCCUUUUGUUGGGAAAGAAAUCCAGCUGGUUAAUACCCGGUUGGGAUGACGGUACCCAAAGAAUAAGCCCCGGCUAACUUCGUGCCAGCAGCCGCGGUAA